Macaca mulatta (Rhesus monkey) is the source of this 1619-nucleotide non-coding RNA. Lineage: Eukaryota; Metazoa; Chordata; Mammalia; Primates; Cercopithecidae. The record is from RefSeq and is a predicted model, not a curated record.
GGCUCUGGUUUACACAUAAAGUAUAACCGGAGAAAUAAACCUCAAAAUCCUAGAAUUUCUGAAGUAGCAACACAGCUUUCAAUUCAAGUCACACAUCAUUUCUGACACAAAAAUAACAGCAGCUGAGUACGUGAGAGGCCUUUCCCUCCAGAAGUGUAGGCUCUGAUCCCACAAUGUCGUCAUUCGUAUUCCAGUCCAGAAGGACACAGACCUUCUCCCAGCACUUUCAGCUAGAUCUCCUGGCUUCUUUUCUGGUUCUAAACUUACCCCAUAUGGAAAGCAGAAUGGUGGUCCCUGAAAGAUGUCUGCAUUCUAGUCCGCUCAACCUGUGACUACAUCAGGUUAUAUGGAAAAGGGAGAGUCAAGGUUGCCAGUCAGCUGACCUUGAAAUAGGGAGCUUUUUCUGGAGGAUUGGGUAGGCUCAGUGUCCUUAAAGUGUCCUUAAAAGUGGACGUAGGUAGGUACCAGCAGCUCUGGUACCCACCUACGGACCACGGAAGCAGGAUCAAAGGGAAGCUAUCAUGCUGGGUUUGAAGAUGGAGGAAGAGGACAGCAAACCAAGAAAUGUCAGUGACCUCUAGAAGUUGGGAAAAAAAAGAAAAGAUUCUCCCUAGGGCUUCCGGAAAAGAAUGCAUAACUGUUGGUGACCCCUUAUGUCAGACCAGAGAGAUUUCCAGUCUACAGACUCUAGAACUGUAAGACAGUAAAUCUGUGUUGUUUUAAGCCACUGAAUUUGUCCUAAUUUAUUACAGCAGCAACAGGAAACUAAUAUGUGCUAUCCGGAAGCAGAGACAGCCUCACUCAGGAACAACACUGCAACUCCAAGACAGAAGAGUGUCUGGGUUUCUUCGGCAAUAAAAGAACUCAGCUCUCAGGAGUCCAACCAAGCCACACAGGGAAGUCACAUGCUGAAGAACCACCCCAUCUAAGCCUGCAUUUUACAGCUGGAACCACUGAGGUUAUGUGGAUAAGUCAUCUUGGGAGUGGACUCCCCAGUCCCAGAAAUUCCAUUAAAAGUGACAAUAAGGGAUACAAAAGCAUACAUCAAAGAAGUAAGGGAAUGAGAGAGGAAGUAACAGUAGACAAGAGCAAGCUGACACCCAAACCUUCAAGGGAAUAACUCAACAUAAAACACGCAGAGCCAGGGAAACUCAGGAAAUGAGGCUCCCGACCCUUCUGAAGGUAGAAAUGCAGAGUGAGUUGAAUGCAUGAUGCCUGACUGAACUUGAUUUUAAAAUGGUAUAGCACAAAGGUCCCUGGCCUUCAGGCCACAAACCAGUACCAGUCCUUGGCUUGUUAGGAACCGGGCCACAUAGCAGGAAGUGAGCCAUGGUUGAGUGAGGGAAUCUUCAUCUGUAUUUACAGCCGCUCCCCAUUGCUCGAAUUACUGCCUGAGCUCCGCCUCCUGUCAGAUCAGCAUCAGCAUAAGAUUCUCAUAAGAGUAUGAACCCUAUUGUGAACUGCGCGUGGUGAGGGAUCUAGGUUGCAUGCUCCUUAAGAGAAUCCCAUGCCUGAUGAUCUGUCACUGUCACUCAUCACCUCCAGAUGGGACUGACUAGGUGCAGGAAAACAAGCUCAGGGCUUCCACUGAUUCUACAUUAUGGUGAGUUGUAUAAUUA